This 36175-nucleotide long non-coding RNA is filed under the name Ananas comosus (pineapple). RNAcentral describes it as "long non-coding RNA (ACOM_LNC002887)". The record is from RNAcentral. Lineage: Eukaryota; Viridiplantae; Streptophyta; Magnoliopsida; Poales; Bromeliaceae.
UUAGGAUUUCCAAUAAAGUUGAUAUCACCUUGUGUCGAAUAUAAAUAUUAAAAAUAUUAUUUUUAGUAAAUUUAGCUGGUAGAGAUAAUUUAACAUGAUAUUAGAACAGGAGGUCUCCUAAUAUUUUUAAUUUUCUCUCAUUUAAUUCAAGUUCAUGUCACGAACCUAAUAAAAAGUCUCGAGUCUAAACAGAAAGUCCAUGUCUUAAACCGAGAGAAUAGUUUUGAAUAAAUUAGAGUUUAUAUAAAAAUUACUUGCCUUCUCCUUUUUGUUUGUGUAGUUGUAGAACUGAAACUUUUUCAACCAGUCCUAACAGAAAGUGAAUAACGUAAAAACUGCAGUUGUGAGAGGUGAAUUAGUAUUUUAAUUUUUUUGGUAAUUAACUUUAUUUAACGGUAAGCUAAAGCCAAUUAUGCUAAAAAACAAUAGAAGUGUGGAUUUACGGUCGAAAACUACUUCAGCCCUCUUUAUUUUCGAUAAAACAAACGCACUAAAGCCAAACUCAAAAGCACAAUUUGAAUAAGGCGCAUGAAAUGAAGUUUUGCUUUAAAACUUAGGCUCCGUUGCAAGGAGAUUGCACUACGUGCGGUGAGAAAGAACAAUAAAAAUUAUCUUGUUUAUUUUCGUACGUAAUAUUGCGUUACGCAUAUCGCGAUUAGUCGAUUAUGAUAUAUUUUCUGCAGCCUCAUCGGAAAAUGCAGAAUCAUAUCCCUAUAUUUUUUUUUCUCAACUCUAUUUUAUUUAAUAAUGUUAGAUAGAUCUUAAUACAAAACUAGACCUUAAUUGUCACGAAUUUGGACCACUCGGCCGCGCACAUGCAUGAGUUGAUAAAUUUGGUUUUUGACGCUUCUAGAAACGUUUAAUACAAGCCUCCGUUAACUAGGAGGAAAUUUAAUUCCUUCUAGAAACUUUGUCACCAAAACAAUUUUUUAAGUUUCCAGGAAAGAUGACACAUCUUAAGUCCCAUGUCACCUAUUUGACUUUGUUGCGCUCCGGAGUUCAACAGCUGCUGUACCUAGGGACGAAACUAGAAAUUAAGAUUCGAGGUGGAGUCAAAAUUUAAAUUUGAUAGAAAAAAAUUCGACCUCAGAUAGUGAAAAAAAAAAUUUGUCGAAUUUACUGAGUAGUCAUUACUAGCAACAAUAACGACAAUAUGCUUAAAGAGAAACAAGACUGUAAGAGUUGACGGAAAAGAACCAAAAAAUUCGGAAAAAAAUUGAGAGACAAAUUUUAUUAAAAAAAUUAAUUCGGCCCCCUCAUAUUAAAAUUUAUAAUAUUUUACUUUUUAUUAUAAAGGACUUCUACAUAAUGUUAAAAAAUUUAGGAGUCGUGGCCACAGUGGGCCCCUCAAUGGCUCCGCCCCUGGCUGUACUAUCACAACACCUUACAUUUUGAGAAAUCGACCUGUGAGCAUCGGUCAGAUUUAAUGUGUCUACUUAGAUAAUAAUAAAUAUUGAUCGAUCUGCUGAUAUGUAUGCUCAUCGUUGUCGAAAUAUCACGUUUUUUUUCGUUCUACCGGUUCGUCCAAGUACUUAGCCUCUUAUCUACGUAUUGGAGAGGGACCUUCUUCCAAUCACUUUUGCAGAUGGUUCUAACAUCGGUCCCUCUCCAGAAUCAUACUCGCCUUCCAGAGACGACGCUAGCAGAGACGGACUUUAUGCAUCUUCCAGCCAUCCUUUUUUUAUAAAAAUAUCUGCUGUAGGGAUGCUCUUCUUUAGAACCAACCAUCGUACUUAAACGAGAGUUCCAGUGAGAUACGUUAUCAGUAUAUUAAGUGUUAGCCGCACAUGCAUAAUAAUUACGAUGUUCAAGCAGAGGAAUCUCUAUCAACUGCUCUAAACAAUGGUGGUCAUUUUUAAGUCGAAAAGUCUAAACAAUUAACUAUCCAAAAUUUGCGACUUAGUUCCCUUUUUUUUUUUUCAACCUAUGGUUUCUUUAAUUUUAGAAAAAUCUAAUAACUACUACCUAGUCUAGUUAAUUAAUUUGGUUGUUGUUUGAGUUGAAUUUUUUGCACAUAGGGGUAUACACAAUAUUCGUUCCGUUUCAAACUAACGAGUCCUGAGUUCGAGUCGCGAUUAAUUUAAAUAAGCAUAAUUAGAGAGAGAUUUACCAAAUUAAAUUAUUCACUUGUAAACCACAAGCUUAAUUAUAAGUUACUAAACAAGCCAAAUUAUACGUGGUAGGGUUACUAAAAAGAAAAAAAUCAAUAGGCUAAGUGCCAAGUUGCAUCCAAAAUAAUAUUAAUUGUUAAUAAUUACAUCAAUUUAAUUAAAUCAAAUCAGGUGCAUUAUAUUAUUUGUGGACUAUAUAUUAGUAAUAUUUUUUUCUCUCACAUGAUCAGAAUAUAUUCUUAAUCUCUCGAAUGCUUCGCUCGAGUUUUUAUAAAAGUUUAUGUUUGAGUAGUACAGCUUAUGGUAUCUUUUCCACAAAUUCAGGAGUAUUAAAAAUUAAGGUAAAUAAAAAAAAAGAAGCUAAAUUAUAGAAAAUCUUCAUAUAAAUACCUGUUUUUUUUUAUUUUUUUUCGACUUUUACGAAUCUAUAUUUUAUCAUCUUAAAAUUUUAGAAAUAUUUUCGAGAGGGUACGAUAUUAAUGGAGAGGGCAAAAUAACUAAAUCACUCUUAUUUCUUCUAUAAGAAAAAAUAUUUUUAAUAUAUUUCUGUUAUUUUGAAGGGUAUUUUCAGUAUAAAUUAUCAAAAAUAGACGGAAUAGUGAUGGAACCCCAACGGAGGGUUGCUAAAUGCAAUAACUUGAAAUGUUGAAGAGUAAAAUGUAGGUUUUCGAAAGUUGGAGAGGAAAAGUAAAAAAAUAGAUAUUUAUAAGAAAAUUUUUUAUAAUUUAGCCUAAAAAAAUAUAAAUUUGUAAUUUAUGAUUUUUUCACUUUUAAAAUUCAAAAGUUUUAUAUUUUAGAAUUUUUUGUGAGUGCGGACGUGAAGGGCUUUUAAUAAAACAACGUAAAAGACGUACAUAAUUUAUUUGAACUUUUGCUAUCUAAUUUUUUAAAAUUUUGAUUUUGCCAUCCAACUGUUCAAUUUGUUUGAUUUGAAUUAGUCAAUAUUACUGUGACUCCAAAUUUUAAAUAUAUUGUUCAUCUUUACAAGUUUAACUAAUAUAUUUUGUGCAAUUCUUGCAAAUUUUAAAAUCAAAAACAUCAUUAUCGACUUACUUAAAUCAAACAAAUUGUAAGGUUGAAUAGUAAAAUAAAAAAUUUUAAAGAUUUGGCAGCUACUUCAAAAUAGUCGAUAGUUCACACAAGUUUUUUAUAUUUUUUCCAUAAAAUUAUUAAAAAUACUGUUAUCUGAUAGCAAAACAUUUAAUAUUUUUUUUACAUCUUUUAAAUAAGAACAAUAAUUUCUUAUACAAUUUUGCUUUCGAAGUAAUUAAUUACUUAAAUUAAUGACUUAAAUGGGUUCCAAACUCUCACUCCCGUUAUUUUCAAGGAACUUGUAUUGCACAUUAAAAUAAUAACUUUAUGGUUACAAAAAAUAAAAAAAAAAUAAAAAACUUUGUUAAUAAUUUGUAUUUGGUAUCUAACACCUCAUGUGGAAAUAAUUAAUUAAUGUAAACCACAACUAGUUGCCCUUUUCUUAAGAACCCAAUUCCCAAAUCAACGGUCACAAAUUUUUGGGACCACUUACUACUCUCUAGGGACCUUUUAAAAAUGUAUUAAAAAAAGCACAAAAAGGAAAAAAAGUAGGCUAUUACUUUAGAACUCGUGUUCUAGAUAUAAUUUCCUAAACCUGGUGUAUCAUAAAACUAAAAUUGUUUUUGAGUUUAGGGCAUGUUCGUUUCGCCGGAAGCAGCGAGAUUCAUUGUAUGCGCGAUCUCGACUUUAUCUUGGUAGGACGCAAAAUUCUGUUUCCACUCUAUAUACAAAGUCGGGAUCGGUGCUGACAAAUUGUAUACUUUUAACUAUUCCAUGCGUUCGAUCUCCGAACUUAUCGGUCUCUUUCAAAUGUCCACGUUUGUGCGAUUCGAUGAGAUAAGGAGUUUUAUUAAAGCAGAAGUUUCGACAAAACAAAUAUGCCCUAAAUGCACGGUAAUUUACCGAACUUUUGGUCGUUCGUAGAUUUGCAAUUCAAACAGUCAAAAAUUUUAAACUAACCACUUAGAUAUAUAUAUUUCGAGUCCGGCUAUAAUGCUUGUAAAAGCACCAAUCACUUUGUGCUCGUAGGUUUUUAACCGUUAGAUCAGCACUGUUGAUCAUUUACACCUGUUAGAUUAUACUAUUCAACCAACCACCCACUCAACCCUAGAGGAUCCACAUCAUCCUAACCACAUAUUUUUUAAUCUAAAGGCCAAAAACUUAUAAGCACCAAUGUCUUGGUACUUUUAAAAGCAUAAGAGCUCAAUUCUAUAUAUUUCAUCAAUUUAAAACGACUGAUAUCAAUCAAAUAGUCAAGAAACAAUAAAAAGACACGUGUAAGUGACAUAAAUAAUUCUUCUGAAUAAUCAAAUUUUCUUUCGAUGGUAAAAUUAACCAAAAUUUUUAUAUUCAAUUAUCGACAAGCAAAUUAUCAUAUGCCAGUAACAUACAUUUCUAUCUUUUUUUUUCCUUUUUUUUUAAAAAAAAAAAUUUGUUUGUGUUUAGGGAUCUCCUACAUUUAAUCUUUGGGAAACACUAGCCUAUAAAGGAACACUGUGGUGUGUGCAAAAAUUUUGCUUCAUUGAGGAAAAGAACAAAGUAUAAUGGUCCUUAAUUUCUCUCCCCUCUUCUGAAACUUAUUGCACAGCAUCGUCACCCUAUCUCAUCCCCUACUUCUUGAGAUGAUCUUCGGUAUAGCAGUUGCAUUAUAUUAUAAAUAUAUUUCGAGCCAAUCAAUUUUUUCUUUUUUUUUUUUGAAAAAAAGGUACAAUAAUUUUUAUCUUUUUAAAAAGAUCUACGAUGAGAUAAAUAAACCACAGAAACACAAUUUGAUUGGUUAAAAGCAUGACGACAUGAUAUUACUGUUAUAUUUUAGAUUUUUUUUUUCCUAUAUAAUAUUAUUGGCAAAAAGCUUAAUGACAUAUAUUUGAGAUUUUUAAGUUAAAAUUUAAUUACUUUACAUUUUUAGCCCUAUGUUGCUCUUUUUUUUUUUUGUGUGGACGGAAAUGGCUUUCAAUAAAUGACUAUUCCAUUUAUUAUUUGUCGCGCUGUGUGAUGUAAAUAUCAAAUAAAAAUUGACGGUGGACAAAACGGUCCCACGAAUUUAAUAGCUCUAAAGCUAUUGAUAGUUACAGUUUUUUUUUUUUUCUUAAUUUCUACGGUGUGCGAAUUUAGUUUGACUCUCGCUUGGAGCACAAAGACGUUACGUCUCUGGCUCGUUUGGUUCGAAAAUUAGUAGAAACUAGUUAUAUCGGAAAUAUGUACAAAUAUAAAUUUUUGUAAGAAUAAAAAUAUUUUUUUUAUUUGGAUGAAAUUAUGAGUAUAAGCUGGAACUAGAAAAAUUAUAUUUGGAUGGUUAUUGAGAAUAAGAAAAAUAGUUGAUGUAUAAAUAAAAAAUAAUGAUAUUACUGCUGUAAUUAAAUUUUAAAUUUUAAACUUAUAAUUUUAAAUUGAAAAUUUUAACUUUUAAAUUUUAAAAUUUAAAAUUUAAAUAUUCAAAUUUAUAAAUUUUAAAUUUUAAAUUUUAAAUUUAAGACUAAAUUUAAAUUUGAAAUAUAUAAAAUAUCAAACUUAAAGUUUAAAAAUUUAUAAUAAUAAAUUUAAAUUUUAAACUUUAAAAUUUAAAAUUUAUAAUUUAUAAUUUAUAAUUUUAAUUUUAAAAUUAGAAAAUUUAAAUUCUAAAUUUUAAAACAAAACUCUCUCUCUCUCUAUCUCUCUCUCUCUACCCAGUGGGUGGGAACAACAGUUCCCACCUCUUAAGAGGUGGGAUCAAUAGUUCCCACCAUAAACAUUUCUUGUUUGGGUAUAAAGGGAAUAGCCCUCUUAUCCCCCUUUUAUACCUUUAUCCCUCUUUAUAUUCGAUUCAAACGGAGUGUAGAGAUAUUUGUUUAAAUAUUUUAUAAAUACACGACCUAAAUUUUUUAGCUCGAAAUUUUUUCAGCUCGAAAUUUUAACAGGCUGAAUAUGAAAAGCACUAAAUACUUAGUGCUUAUACGUUUCCCACUAUUAAAUUUACUCUUUUGAUCAUUUUUACCGAUUAAAUCAUAUUAUUCAAUCAAUCACCCACUCAAUUAAUUUUUAAAAAAAUUAUCAUCCUAACCUACUUUCCUUAAUUCAAGGACCGAAAGCCUACAAGUAUUAAUAACUAGUCAUUUUUAAAAGCAUAGAAACACAAUUCAUAUAUAUAUAUAUAUAUAUAUAAUUUAGAUUUUAGGCCAAUCAAAUAAUAAGAAGAUCUAUAUUUUAUAAAUUAAAAUUAUUAAAUUAAAAUUAAAAUUUUUAAUUUUUUAUUCAGCAAUAAAAUUGAUAAUUUCACUUGUUGCUUGUAAGCCAUCUCAAACCGAACAUAAUUUGUAUUUUUGAAAUCAUGCUUUAAAGGAUCAGUUUGUGUUUAGCUCAUUUAAUAAAGGAAAAUUUUCAAACACCCUCCCGGGAUUUCGCACUUUCUCAUUUUAGUACCCUAUGGUUUAAAGUGUAUCAAGUUAGUACCCUGUGGUUUCGCACUUUCUCAUUUUAGUACUCUGUGUUUUCAAGUGUAUUAAAUUAGUAAGUAUCAUGUGGUUUUAUUUUUCUAUCAAGUUAGUAUCCAGUUGUUUCAAUUUUCUCCUUUUAUUAUUAAUUUUAGGGUAUAUAAUUUAAUGAAUAUUAAACCACAGGGUACUAAAAUGAGAAAAUACGAAACUAUAAGAUAUUAACCCACAAAGUACUAACUUAAUAUACUUGAAACCACAAGAUACUAAAGUGAGAAAGUGCGAAACUACAUGAUACUAACUUGAUAAACUUUAAACCACGGAAUACUAAAAAUGAGAAAGUGCGAAACCACGAGGGUAUUUGAAGUUUCCUUUUUAAUAAACAAACGAAAAUGCAGUGGUCCCAAUUAGCUCAUGGUCAGCUCGCUGAGAUGAAUGAAAACUGGACACGUACAGUAGUCCACGAAAUGCGCGCAUACACCAGGUUCAGUGAAAAAUACCUUGUCAUCUUCCUCCCCCUUUCGUAUAUAUAUAUAUACAUACAUAUAUGAUAUCCAAUUGGGACAAUGACUCAGUAGUUUUAGCUAUACUUUUCGCUUUCCCUCGUUCUCGUUCUCGCCGCCAUUAAAAUUUCCUCGAAGCUCGCUCCAUCCAUUUCUCCCCACAUAUAUAUAUUUUUAGAGAGAGAGAGAGAGAGAGAGAGAGGGAGAGAAAUGGGGGAGGUGUUCGAAUCGUGCGUGGUGGGUCCGAGCGAGGAGACGCCGCGGCACGCUCUGUGGGUGUCGAACCUGGACUCGGUGGCGGCGCGUGGGUUCACGCCAACGGUCUACUUCUACCGGUCCGGUCCGGCCGGGCCGGCCGGGGAGGCGGUGGCGGCGCUGAAGGCGGCGCUGGGCCGGGCGCUGGUCCGGUUCUACCCGCUGGCCGGCCGGCUCGGGGCGGACCGGUCCGGCCGGGUCCGGAUCGAGUGCACCGGCGAGGGCGCGGCUUUUUCCGCCGCCCGGUCCGAUUCGACCGCCGACGAGUUCGCCCGCGACUUCGCCCCCUCGCCGGACCUUCGCCGGCGCUUCGUCCCCCCCGCCGACUCCGCCGAUCCCCCCUGCCCUUUGCUUAUGCUUCAGGUUCCUCCCCUUCUCUCUCUCUCUCUCUCUCUCAUUAUUAUUAAUUAUUAUUAUUAUUAUUUUUAUUACUAUUGGGAUUCUAGAUCUUUCCGAAUAUUUGAAAAUAUUUGUAAAAAUUUAUAAUAAUAAUAAUAAUAAGAAAUAGGCUGGAAUACUAUCAAUAGCGCCAAAUUAUUAUUACUAUUAAUUUUUUAGCACUUGAAUUGAAAAAUAUGCGGUUAGAAUGAUGUGUGCCCUCUAGGGUUAGUGAGUGGUUGGUUGAAUAAUAUAAUCUAACGGAUAAAAAUAACCAAAUCAUUAAAUAUAAUGGUGGAAAACUCGAUAGCAUCGGACCCUUAGUGCUAUCGAUAGUAUCCUAACCGGACUCUAAUAAUAAUAAUAAUAAUAAUAUUUUGGUCCGUAAAAAAUAUAUUAUAAAAUAUUUUUAAAAUUUAGAUAUUAGUCAUAUUUAGCUAAUCUGAUAAAGCUAAGUUUGGAAUUUUAUGCCCUUGUUCAGCUCGAAGUGGGAAUUAAAGUGCCCUUUGUUAAUUUUUUAAAAUUUGUUCAAAUAUCUUCAAAAUUUUAAAAUUUGUUAGUAAAAUUUAGAGUUUAGAAGAAUAUUUUAAAAAUAGAAGUGCAAAUUUUUUAAAAAAUUGAAUAGUGGUUGGAAAUGUAGAAAGAAAAGUUUCUUAUUUAAUACCUGCCAACUGUCCUAGGCAAUACUAGCUCUCUCUCUCUCUCUCAAUUGAUUUACACUUUUUUUUUUUUUUUGUCCUAUAUUUAUAGGAUAAACUAUAUAAAUAGUUUUCGCACUGUCUCUAUUUUGUGGUUUGGUUUUUGUAUUUAGUUCUUAAAUGUAAAAUAAUCUAAUAACUAACUACUGGCUAGUCUAGUGCAGUGUUAGUUAAUUCGCGAAUUGUUCGCCAAUUUUUGAGAAAAUGAAUUAAACUAUUGAAUUCGUAUUUUCCUGGAAAAUUCGCAAAAAAAAUGUAUUUUUUGGGGGAAAAAAAACCUAUUUGCGAAUUAUUCGCGGCGAAUUAUUCGCCCAAAAAAAGGGCCCGUGUCCCCCCCCCCCAACAAAAAAAAAUCACUAUCAAAAAAAUUUAAUCUCUUAUGUAUUAUUUUAAUCUUUUAUUUACUUAAUUUAUUAUUUAUUUUGAGGUAUAAUAUAGUUUGCUAUUUUUUUACUUAAUUAGCUUAAUUUGUAGUUCUUUUUUCUUAUAUUCUUAGGAAAUAUGAAUAUUUAUGCUAAUAGCAUAAAUUUUGAGAGAAAAAAAGUUUAAUUUAAUAGCCGAAUUUUUUAUCCCGAAUUUUUAAUUGAUGAACGUAUAAUAUCCGUAUAAAUCACGUGUCCGAAUAAUUGACGAAUCCGUUUUUUAGCCGUAUUUUUCAACAAAUUUAAAAAUUAGAAGACGAAUUUUAUCCGAAUUAUACCCGUACCGAAUUUUUGCUGAAUCCGAAUUAACUAACUAUGGUCUAGUGAUUUAUUAUUUGGGUAAACUUUAAAUAUUAUUCCUAUAAUUUUGUAUUUUUUUAUUUUAGCAUUAUGUGGUUAAAAGUGUAUUAAUUUAGUAUUAUGUAGUUUUUUUUUUUUUAUUUUCGUCAGUCCUUCCGUUAAUUUUUCGUUAAAUUAUAUACAAAAAUUUCAAAUAUUUCACAUAUAGUUUAUCAAAUAUUUGCUUUAUUAUUCUUUAGUUUUAACUUUGUCACUAAUUUAACAAAAAAAAUUACUGAAAGGAGAUAAUAAAAAGAGAAAAAUAAAAUCGUAGGGUAUAAAGGUGAUACAUUUUAAAUUAUAGGAUACCAAAGUGAGAAAGAACGAAACAUAGAAGUGAUAUUUAAAGUUUUUUUCCUUAUUAUUUUUAAUAAUAGAGUUUUUUUUUUAAAUAAGAGGUCAAGGAUUUAAGGUUCCCCCUACAAGCAUGAUAAAUAUUUGGGGAAAAAAUUCUAAUUUUUUAUAAAAUAACCAAUUAAUUUGUAGCCUUUCAUUGAAAAUAAUUUAUUUUUUUAGUACACUUUUAUAAUGUCCUUUUUCUAAGAAGUACUCAAGUGAGUAAAUUAAAAAGUAUGGAGACUAACUUGCCACGUGGACAAAUAUGCAAGGACCAUCCAUAUAUAUUUUGCCCUUAGAUUUAUUAUUACUGUUCUAUAAUUUGUUUUUAAUUUUUGACCUAAAUAUUCUAUAUUUUAUUGAUUUGGGGGUGUUUAGUAGAAUAAUUUUUUUGCUUAGAAUUAAUUAGCAUAAAUUGCGUUUUAGCUCUAGAAAUUUAAUGAUAUUACUCCGUAUUUUGUAUGUUCGAUUAGCAUUUUCUAAUUUUAAUAUUUUAUUUUGGGUUUUGUUUAAUGAAUGCUUGGGUGUUUAUACUUUAUAAUGAUAGUUAGCCAUGUUACAUCAUUGACUUAAUUGGAAAGGAUUAAUUACUUUAACUAGCAAAUUAAUUUGGUCGUUUUAGGUCCCAAAUGAUAAUUCAUACAAAAUGCUCUUUUUUUUUUUCAUUUAUAGAAAUAGCGAUUUGGAAAAGCAAUUUUUUAUUUAAAAGCAUUUAUAAAAACUUUUUUUUGUAAUUUUUAUUAUAAUUAUAUUAGGAGUUUCAUAUUAGAGUUUCUGUAUAAAAUAAAAUAAAUUAGGAGUUUCAUAUUAGAGUUUUUUUAAAAAAAUUUUUGGGGUUUAGGGAGCUUAUAAUGUUGUUUAUUUUUUAAAAAAAUAUUGUUAUUAUAAAAAUAAAAGAGAACUUGUUUAAGAAGCUUGAUUAAAUUGUUUAUUUUUAUUUUUCUCUUUUAUAAGAUAACGUUUGAAACAAGUUAGUGGAAGAAUACAAUUCCCCCUAGACUUUUCUCUUAUAGCAUUUUUAUUAGUGUAUGAUUUAAUUGACUAGUGCAGGGUUUAAUUAACUAAUGAAGGAUUAAUUAAUGAGAUCUCGAAUCUGAGUACGUAUUAGUGUUGCUAAUUUGAGUUGAAUACACCAAAAUGACUUUAUAAUUAAUCUCUACUUUAAUAAGCAUUAAUUAGAAAUAAUUUAAAAAUAAUCUUAACAUAUUCAAAAACAAAAAAAAAUAAAAAAUAAAAAGGAAGGUUGAAAUUUAUAACUUUGAAUCAGUAGUGUGGACAUGUUUCUUUUAAAUUAUUUAAACGAGAAUCUUAAACUUUUAAAUUUAGAAAUUUUUAUUCUGAUAUUAUAUAAAGUAAUUAAUUUUUUAAGUACUCAUCUAUGCAUAGAAGAAUAAUAAUAUCUUUUAUAUGGGAAUAUUUUGUCACCAACAAAGAGGGAAUAAAGUGUGUUGUAUUAGAAUUUGAUUUCUUAGUAAUUACUUAAUAAAAAGGAAGAGCAUAUAUACAAUAAAUAUAUUGGUGUUUUCAGAAAUAUUCAUUUUUUAAUUAGGAUAUUAUUUUUAUCUUUAAAUAAAAAUGGUUUGAAAUAUAUAAAAUUGUAUAUAAACUAAAGUUGUGAUAAUUGUAAUUAAAGUUGUACAUUGGAAUAUAUGUAUACAUGGAGUUUUGGGACUUUAUAAUAUACUCUUCUUGUUUAAUCUUUAAAGUCAACUCCAAACAAUAAUCUAAAUUAAAAUAUUUAUAAACUUAUAAGAAUAGUUGAGCUAAGUUGAAACAUUUUAAUGCUUCAUAAUUGAAUAGAGCAUAUUCUUUGGGUACAAUGUAUAGAGAAAAUGAUAGUUUAGUAAUGCCUAUUUUUAUCAUUUAAUAUAGUAAAUAAAAAUAAGAUAAAAAUCUAUUGUGCUCACCCUCAACUAUCUCUUAUUUUCAUAUGACUAAAUUGUUAAAAAUUUCAAUUUUGUUAUUUAAUUUUUUAAUCUCCUAAAUUUGAAUCAGUUAAUGACUUUUCAACUUUAAAAUUUAAAUAUAUUGUUUGUCUCUACAGAUCUAAUAAGUAUACUUUAUGUAAUUAUGUAAUUAUAAAUUUUGUAUCGAAAAAGUCAUCAGAUGGCUUGAAUCAAACAAACUGAAAGACUUUGUGUUAAAAUUAAAAUUUUAAAAAAUUAAAUAAUUAUAUCAAACUAGUCUAUAAUUUAGAAAUGAACCGUACAAUUUUAAUGUAAUUAAUGCAAUAAAAAAGUUAAAUAAUUAUUGGUAAUUUAUUAUUGAUUAAAAUAGUUUCAAUUUCUUUUUUUUAUGAUGAUAAGGAGAGAGAACUAAUAAGUUGAGUAGAAUUGCGGUUCAUAACAAAUCCAACGAUAAAAAAUUUAAUAAUAGAUAUAAUGCUUAGAUAAAUUUAAUCAGAUCGAAAUUCGUGAGCGUUGUAACUGAGCUUUUAACUGCGAAAGUGCGCUUUUCUUAUUACCACCUAUUUUUGGGAUAGAGGGACAAGUGGACAAGUGGGGACACACUCAUUUAUAUUGUGGUAUCUUUCAUUGAUUGAAUGUCACAUCAUUCCAUGAGAUAGCUUCUAGAUGCUCCCCCAAAGUUUUAUUUUAUUUCUUGGCCUAAUGAUAUACCAUUCAUUUUUAUAAUAUUUUAUGCUCAAUGAUUCCACGAGAAAUAAUAAAUAAAAAGGUACUAUUUGUACAUCUCAUUACAAGUUUAAAUGUAUGGAGAUCUCCUCCACUAUAUGCCAUUUUGAAAUAGACCUCUUCAUUUUUACUUUUUUUUUAACUAAAAAUAUAGAGAAAUUAUUUAAGGUAAAAUAUAUAUAAAAUUUAUCUGAACUAUGGACUAUUUAUAUUUGGCCAGUCAAUCUUUUAAAAUUUUAAUUUUACUAUACAGUUUUUCAAUUUAUUUGAUCUGAGUCAGUCGACGAAACUUUGACUCUAAAAUUUAAAUCAGUCGUUUAUUUCUAUAAGUCUAGUUAAUAUAUUUUUUGCAACUCUCGUAACUAUAAGUUUAUUAAAGUAAGUAAUUUAUUAGAUACAUCACAUUUUUAAUUUAUUGAAAUCAAAUAUAUAUUUUUUAAUGAUUAUUAGUACACAAUCGUGUACAUAUAUACUAAUUUAAACCUAACAACCAUGAAGUCACCUUAUAUAUGUACAGAGACAUAGAGUAUAGAGGUUUUGAUAUUUAUAAGUCGUUUUUUGUGGUAGAGUUUUCAAAUCCACAAUCUAUACUGUUAAACAUAAUUAAGAAAAUAAAAUGCUCAGAAAUCAAAUUUUAUAAAAUUUUGAAGCUAAAAUAAAGUGUAGCGAGCGGAUAUAAAAUGAACGAUUAAAUCGAACGACCCGCACAAAUAGUUUAUAGGGUUCUUCAAUUCAUAAUCGAAGUUAUUGAUUCUCUAAAUUAUAUUUAACAGUAUAAAUUGUUGAUUCGGAAGUUGUACUAUUAAAAAUAACUUAUGAGUACAAAAAUGAUAUGAGUCGGACUCUUUUUACGUAUAUAUAGAGAGAGAGAAUUGGGUUGGAAUACUCUUUAAUAGUAUCAAGUUGUAGCUGCGAUCCAGUUUUUCACAAUUAGAUUUAUCCUUUAAUUAAUUCCACCCUUUAGAUUGUUGUAUUUUAUCGACCAUCCACUAAAUCGUGGAGAUCAUUAUCAUUCCAAUCCUAUAAUUUUUUAUCCAAGGGUUAAAACUAGAUAUGAUUCAUUAGCCGGAUACUAUUAAAAGUAUUUCAUUCCGACUCUAUAUAUAUAUAUAUUUAUAUAGAGUUUUGCUAGAAUACUAUCGGUAGUAAACGGCUCGGUUUACUACCAAUUUGUUUUCGAUGAUAGAGCUUCCAAAUUGAUGAUCGACACCGUUAAAUAUGAUCUAAACUAUUUAAACUAUCUAGAAAUCAAAUUUUACACAUUUUCGAUAUUGUUCUCUUGUCCAUCAAGUGAACAGAAAAAUGAAUGGCUGGAAAUAAAUAUCCUUUAAAAAGUGAUGAUACAAUUUUUAUAUUUGAGAUCUAGAGUCUAGAUCUUAUUUUAAAUAGUUUAAAGAAUUUUUUAACAAAAAUUUAAUUGAUUUGAACUCUUCUAUACCGUUAAACGAGCAAACGCACCAUAUCGGCCAUUAAAAUUAUAGAUUUUGUGACCCUUUGAUCGUUCAGUUAGUGAUGCCAAAAAAUUAUGAAAUUUGAUUUCUAGAUAAUUUAAAUGGUCUAGAUCAUGUUCAACGGUGCCGAUCGUCGAUUUGGAAGCUCUAUCAUCAAAAACAAAUCGGUAGUAAACCGAGCAGUUUACUAUCGAUAGUAGUCCAGUCAAACUCUAUUUAUAUAAUAGAUAAUUGAGUUAGGGAUCUCUUUUUGCUAUUAUAUACACUAUAAACAAACACAGGCUAAAUCUUAGUGGGCCGAUUUUUAUGGGCCUGAAUUUGGCCUCAUUUUGUUGGUCAUUUUUUUUAAAAAAAAUUAGAAUAAAAUUUUUAACUUAACUAACUAGAAUAACUGUUUUGUGCACUCAGGUGACAUUCCUGAAGUGCGGGGGCAUGGCACUAGGCUUUGCCAUCCACCACCUGGCCUUCGACGGCCGCGGCGCAUCCCUCUUCAUCCAAACCUUCUCCCGCAUCGCCCGCGGGGCCGACCUCGCCUCCCUGCCCCCGCCCUUCUUCGACCGCACCCUCCUCCGUGCCCGCUCCCCGCCCUCCGUCCUCUUCGACCACUCCGACUCCACCGCCUUCUCCGACAGCAACGCCAACAAUGACAACACCGCCGCCGCCGCCGCUAUUGUGUCGCCGGUCGUCACGGCCCACCUCGCGCUCUCCAAGUCCCAGCUCCAGUCCCUCAAGUCGCGGUGCGGCUCCGCGACCGGCCCCGCCACCCCGCGGGUCUCCACGUUCCGCGCCGUCGUCGCCCACGUGUGGCGCUGCGCCUGCAUCGCCCGCGGCCUCGCGGGCGAUGUCCAAACCGAGUUAUACCUCCCCGUCGACGUCCGCGCACGUCUCGUCCCACCACUCCCCGCAGGGUAUUUUAUAUUCAUCACUCCUUUUGUCUUAGACUCAAAAUACUUUGAUAGGCUGAAUACAUAAACUUUAGAUCUCUCGUCUCUAGAGAAUAGUGCUUUAAUAUUUUAUAUUCGACAGGUACAUCGGCAACGCGGGGAUCCGCACGAAGGCCGUCCUGACCGUCGACGAGCUCAUAUCGAGCAGCUUCGCCGAUAUCGCCGAGACGAUCCAGAACGCGGUCGACCGCGUGAACGACGACUACGUGCGGUCGUUCAUCGACCACCUUGACACGGCGGACGCGAACACCCUGUCGCGGCGGGGGGCGCUGCCNAUUUUAUAUUCGACAGGUACAUCGGCAACGCGGGGAUCCGCACGAAGGCCGUCCUGACCGUCGACGAGCUCAUAUCGAGCAGCUUCGCCGAUAUCGCCGAGACGAUCCAGAACGCGGUCGACCGCGUGAACGACGACUACGUGCGGUCGUUCAUCGACCACCUUGACACGGCGGACGCGAACACCCUGUCGCUGCCGCGGACGAGCCUGUGCGCGAUCAGCUGGCUCGGGAUGCCGAUGCACGACGCCGACUUCGGGUGGGGGGAGCCGGAGUUCAUGUCGCGGGCGCAGAUGUACGGUAGCGGGUAUGUCUACUUGAUGAGCACCCCCGGAAACGAGGGGGGAGUCUCAGUUAUACUGGGGCUGGAGAAUGAGAGCAUGAGGCUGUUCAAAAAGAUAUUCUAUGAGGAGCCUGCUUGUAUAGAGGGGUAAAGUUCGAAUUGUGAAAGAAUUACACGAGCGCGAUCUCAAACUACUACUACAAUUUGAGCCGCUCCUACAAAUUUAUAUAGUAGUGAAUCACGAGGCGCAAUCGUGCGUUGCCUCGCGAUGCGUGAUCAGCCACGUAUGCGGUAGGUGUUUCUAUUUCAAGUUGCUCUCAAUCGAGACCGGUCGGCGCUGUCGAUUGAUUGCUGAUCAUGUAAACUUGGGGUUUUAGUCAUGUACUUGGGGCAACUUUUACUGUUUUUGUGAUCUUUUAGAGAACUGAUAUGCUUUGUAAUAAUUUUACAGUAAAUGGUUACACUUUUAUUUGUGAGUAUUUACAAAAGUAUAAAGCUUAAAAAAUAGAUUCAGCCAUUCCAAAUACAUGAAUUUUAGAACUAAAAAUUAAAGAACAUACACUAGCAUCGUAUUAUUUCUUUUAAAAAGUUGUGAAUGAAUGAAUCUGAUAGCUUAAACUUUGUAGGAAUAUAUUUGUUAUUCGAUAUUUUUAGUGAAGCACGUUUCACCGUCGAAUAAUGAGAUUAUAAUGUUUUCUUUUCGAUACCGAGCAGAAGCCUCACCCACAUCGAGAGAGCGCAACAAACAACAUCCAAAGUUGGAUUUUGGACCAGGCUGUUCUGGGCAUGUUCGAAUUGGAAUAACUACAAAUACGUUACAACGAUCUCGGUCCAAAAUGAUCUAAGUCGGAUCGUAUCGGAGCGUGUCAAAUUGAGAAAUCAUGUCUCGGACUAGGUUAACCGAAAAAAACGAAAAGCUCCGGCCUCGGUUGGCUUAACUCGCUAAUAAUUCGGUAAAGAGGACUAGAUUGAUAGCAAUAUAUGUCGAUGAAAAUCGCGCUAACUAAAUGAUCUAAAUGAUUGGACUUAAAACCCUAGCCUGGGAAGAGGAGAGCGAUAGCUCUACAGCCCAGUGUGCAGCUAUUUCUAUCAAAAAUUAGGUUGAGAUGAUCAGAUCAGGUAAAGUCCGGACGAAUUUGCUCAGGCCUACUAGUAGCUAUAUUUUUUUAUUGAUUUGGAUUGUAAAUUUAUUUACUAAACAAUAAUUGUGGUGUUAGUUUAUAAUACACUCUCCUUAUUUUUUUUAUGUGUUUUUUGGAUUUUCAUUUGUAUAUUCUCUUUUGUGUUGUGUGGAUGCAUGCCUCAAUAUUUUUCCCAAGUUUAUAUUCGAUUUUACCUAUAAAUUUUCUUGUCAAAAAAAAAAACAAAAGAAAAAAAGCAACUCAAAUGCGAAAUAGAGAAUCCCCCAAUUCAUAGAUAUAUACUACUAUUAGGAAGAGUUGGGUUAUAAUCGUUAUGACCUAAUCCGUUAAUAACAAUAAUUCGUUAGGUCUAAACCACCGGCCCAAAAUAAUUAAGCCAAUAUAUUAUUACUAACAUGUAGGCCUCAUAUAUUAUAAUCAAAAUCAGUUUCCACCUGGGAGUUAUAAUUUUGCCAAAAUAUAUAUAUAUAUCAAAACAAAGGUGACGAUAUUAGGAUUUGAUUAGAUUGUAGUUAUCUAAAAUAUAUAUUAAUAAAAGUCUAAUUAGAUUAGUAGAAAAAUAUAGAUUGAGAUUUAAGUAUUUAAGAGAUUAAUUUGGAUUAGAGUACUAAUCCUAAUUGAACUCUAAUGAGACUAUGUUAGAUAUAGCUUACAUCAAAGUGCCUUGUCGCAUCUGUGUUAGUUACGGAUUUAUACAAGACGAGAGAAAGGUGAUAAAGAUUUAGAAAGUGACAAAGUAAUAAUCCAAAUUUUAUUAGAAUUUAACUCAAAGUUUCAGUAACAAUAAGAUUUAAUUAUCCACAUCACAUUUAUAAUAAUCAUGUUUAAAGUCCACAUGGUUAGAAUUGAUUGGUUAUCUUAUUCCAACCCUGAAGCCAUCAUAAAUUCACAACUGAGAUUCUGAUUGAUAAAAAAUUUCUCUGUACCUUUACCCUAUUAUUCUAUUUUAAUAUUUUAUUAAAUAUUAAAUAAUUAGUAUCAGAGAAAAUAACGCUUCGAACAGAACGAUGCUCUCGAAAUUUUUUUUUCAUCUUUUGUAAUUUCUUUUCUUCUUUGUUUUUCUUUUUUGUGGUUGUACAUAAUUUUAAUACGGAGACAGGAUUAUGGUAAAAACUUUAUUUAGCGCUUUCAGUAAUUAGUAUCAGAGCAGAUUAAUUACUGGUUCUCUAUAGAUAAUCGAUCUAAUUGAGAGCUCAUUACGAAAGAUCGAAGGGGUGAUUUAAAUCGAUGAUUGGUUACUUUCUUAACAUUCUAAUAUUCUGUAUAGUGUAUGGAGCAUUGGUAUGCACUAAGCGCAAGCAAAGAUUUUUUCUCUGUUUUGAAAUUAUGAGUGCAUCCUAUUAAACAUUCUUUAUACUAAGUACAUAUUUGUACAUAUACCACAUGCCUAAAUAGAAAUUUCAAAAUUAAUUCAUCAAAUAUAAUUUAAAUUCUUAGACUUUUUAGAUCAUAUAUAUUUAAUUAACCAAACAAUCGUGUACUUAUAACAUAAAUAUACCAAACUAAUUAAAUAAUGUAUUUAGAUCUUCAUGUAAUUGUAAUUGCUUUAACCAAACAAUUGCAAAGUUUUUUUUUUUUUAUGAAUGUAAAAGUUUUCUAAUCAACGAUAUAAUUAGUAACUCAGUAUUUUACACAUUACAUAAAUAAAAUAUAUUUCUUGUUACGGUUCGUUUAAAUUAAUGCUACUUGAGUAGUGUUAUUAUAGAUAAUUUGUGAUAACACUAAAUUAAUUAAUGCGCAUAAUUAAUCGUAAUCACGCGAGAAAUGGACGUAACGUGCACGUUCUUAUAAGAAAUUAAAAGAAAACUAAAUUAAGGUGAAAAGUUAAUGCUAUAUAUAUGUAGCCUAAAAUGUAUUAUAGUUAAUAAUACUCCAUCAGCUUUACGAAGUUCUCUAACUAAUAUUGUUAAUAAUAGUAAUAAAAAAAAUAAUAUAUAUUUUUUAAGACAUGUGAUCGUAUUAUUAUAGCACAGAUAAAUUUGUCACCAUGUCCAUCGAAGAAAUUAAAAAUUAAAAAAUGAUAGUGACUAAUUAAUUAUAUAUUAUAAGGAAGGUUUGAGAGUGGGACACAUAUAUAAGCAAAAAAAAAACCAAAAAAAAAAAGAAAUUGUCACGUAGUUAAUUUAAUUGUAAUCAAUGCCCAUCUAAUUUAUUAGUGGGGUGCUCGAGUCCACGCCUUUAUUGAAAAAAAACAAAAAGGUUAUAAUUAUUAUGGGGAAAGAUUCUGGAACCUAUUGAUUAGAUAAUCUUAAAAAAAAAUUAUUAUCUACUCUAUUAAUUGGGUGCUUAGCUUUUUUGUUAAAAAAUUACUAUUAAUUAUGGAGAAAGAUUCUGAGAUGGCAUCUAAUUAAUAAUAUUACUAAAAAAUUACUAAUAUUAGUAAUUUUUUGUUAAAAAAUUACUAAAAUUUUUUUUUAAAAAAGAAUUAACGACUAGUAUAAUUGGCUGAGAAUUUAAUUAUUGGUAUAUGAGAUUUCGGGUUGCUUCAUAUUUUUCGUUAAGUUUAUUUUUAAAAAUUAGGAGCAAUUAUUUAUAUAUUUCUAAAAAAAUUUAAAUUUUUUUAUUCACGAAUUUUAUAAGACUAAUAUUGAAAAUACUCUUUUAAAAUUUUAAAAAUUUUCAAAUAUUCUUCGAGAGUUAAAUUCAAGUUCCCUUGGGUCUCACUCAUUUUAAAUCAUUUUAGUGAAUCUUCAUUAAUUAAUGCUCACCAAAAUCCACAUCCAACAUUAUAUUUGGGUCUCACUCAAAUUCAAUACAAAAGCUGACACGGCACGUUCUUAAUUAUUAAUCCUUUCUGGCUAUUGUAAUUAUCAUUUUAUCUGUAAAUUAAAUCUCUCUUCAUAUAUAUAUAUAUAUAUAUAUAUAGAGAGAGAGAGAGAGAGAGAGAGAGAGAGAGUGGGGCUGGUAUACUAUCGGUAGCACGGAGUCCUCCGUGCGAUCAAAUUAUUUUUAAUGAUGCGAUUUUCAAAUCGACGAUCGACUCUGUUAGACUUGAUCUAUACUGUUGAAAGUAUUUAGAAACUAAAUUUUAUAAUUUUUCGACAUCGUUUAGUCAGUGAUCAAAAGAAGAGUGCUCCACGCACUUUAAUAUAUAUAUAUAUAUAUAUCAAUAGAAAUAGAUGCUUUUAGAAGUAAACGAAAUCGUUUACUUCUCCAUUACUUUAAUCGGUGAUCGAUAUUAUCAAAUUUGAUCUAAAUUUUUUGAAUAAUUUAGUUUUCAAAUUUCCCAAUUAUACGGCAUUAUUUUGAAUUUUUAAGGCUAAUAUAGAGUGAAUUUACGAUCAUUUGGUCACUCAGACAAAUGAUAUCGUGAAAUCCUAAAAUUUAAUUUUAAAAAUAUUUUAAAUAAUUUAAAUUAUAUUUGAAUUUACUAUAGUCUCAAACGACAUAAGUUUUUAUUUAUUUCUAAAAAUAUUCUAGUCUAAACUUUCAUUUUAUAAGUCUUGUUAGAAGCCACGUAGCUUGAUAGAAUAUAUGCCACAACUUUAUUUUGUUAUUUUUUAUACAUAUUUUUUGGGCCUUACAUGCAAAAAACAGAAAAAGAAAAAUCACUCGUGAUAGCUAAGGAAAUUUAUGUACGUCUAUUUUUAGACUCUCAUGCAUUAAUUAUGUACACUUAAAAAUUAUAAUUAAAAAAUAUUUUAUUAAUUUUCAUACAUAAUAUCGUAUUAUAGCUUAGUUUGGUAUUAAGGCUCUGAUUUAACUCUAUUUGAUAAAAUAGAGUUGGGAUAAAAAUAGAUAGGCACGUAUUUCUGUAUUUUUCGAUAGUAUUGUAGAAAAUAUAUCGUAACCGACUCAUCGCGAUAUGCGGAACAUAAUAUUACGCAUAGAGUAUUUUUUCAUUAUACUUUCUCAUCGCAUGUAACGCAAUCUCUCUGCAAUUCCAAACGAAGUCUACGUAUAUUAUAAUAACUCAGUUACGAUAAAUUUAAGGAUUAAUUACAUAUAACUUUCUGUAAACAUAUCAAGUGUUAAAUAUAUUUCUAUAAAGUUCAACUUUUUUUAUAUUUAUCUCUACAAAAGUUCUAACAUUUUUAAAUAUAUUCUUAGAUUUGUUAGAAAAAUAUAUAUAGUUAACCAUAAGUAAAAUACUUAAUCCUAAUUAAUGAAUUAGGUAACUUGCUAUUUUUAUUUCUCUUAUAUUAUUUGUGAUGAUAUAAAAAAAGAAGAUGAUAGUUAAAAAUUUUGGAUGAAAUGGUAACAGUAAGGAUAUUUUGAAAUAACGAAAAAAUAUAUAAGGGGUAUAAUGGAAAGAAAAAAAAAGGUAAAUAAAAUAUUUUCAAAAUUUUCAGAGAUAUAUAUAGAUAAUUAUUUUUUUUUAAUUAUAUAUGUCAAUAAUAAAAUAAUAAACGAGGAGGAGUGUUUUGGAGACCCUAAAACAGAAAAGUCAUUUGGAAUUGACUUAGAUAUAAGAUUCCUUUGGUACAAUUUUUUAACCUAUAUGUAACCCUAACUCUCUUUGUUGAAACAUAGAGAGAGAGAGAGAGAGAGAGAGAAUGGUGGAGAUAUUGGAGUCAUGCUUAGUAGCUCCAAGUGAGGAGACCCCAAAGCAUGGGCUAUGGCUCUCGAACCUCGACCUCGCCGCGGCCCCGGGCCACACGCCGACGGUCUACUUCUACCGCCCCAGCGGUGACCACAACUUCUUUUCUGUGGAGGCGGUCAAGGCGGCGCUUUCUAAGGCCCUGGUGCCUUUCUACCCCCUGGCGGGCCGUCUCGGUGUCGGCCGGGACGGCCGCGUCGAGAUCGACUGCAACGCGGAGGGCGCGCUCUUCGUCGCGGCACGGUGCGAUUACACCGUCGACAGCUUCAGAGAGUUCGAGCCGUCGCCGGAGACGAGGAGGCUGUUCGUGCCGACCGCGGACUCCGCCGAUCCCCCCUUGGUCAUGCUCCAGGUUUCUUCGCAUAUCACUUAUAAAUAUAUGGAGCGCGCUAACAAAAUAAAUUUGAGAGACAAAUCUUUAAAUGAAAAGAAUAAUAAAUGACGGCAUGAACAAUAAUAAAAAAUAAAAAACUGAUGCUAAAUUAUAUAUAAAAAAUUUUAGAUUACUCAACAUAUAGUUUGUCGAAUAUUCAUUUUAGUAUUCUUUAGUUUUAACUUUAUCAAUGAUUUAAUAAAAAAAAUUAAUGAAUAGAAUAACAAAAAGAGAAAAAUAAAACUAUAAAAUACACAACUGAUACGAAAGUGAGAAAAUGCGAAACCACAGGGGAGAUAUUUGAAGUUUUUCUUACAAAAAUUAUUUGAAUUAUGAUAUAAAUCAAAAGAGUGAUCGACGGUUGAGAUUAAUCUUCUUUUUUUUUAAAAAAAAAGAAGAAGAACCUUGUACCUGGUACAUGCAUCAGAGUAAACUAUGUAGAACUUUCAAUUUAUUAAUACUGUAUAGUUAGGUAUUAUAGUCUCAUUUUACCACAUAAUAAUACAUAUGAAUCAGCACUUCAUACUGUUAAAUAUAAAAUAUAAUAUUCGAAGUUCUUAAGAUGUAAAUUUUAAAAAUUUGUAAACUUUUUUUGGUGUAUCGAAUACAAGGGACAUGGUAGUCCCAUCAUAAUUAAAAAAUAAUUUAUUAUAGUACAACUGUUAUUUAAUAGUGGGAACAUUUAUAUGUAGUUGAGUAUACUUGUUUAGUAUAGCUUCUAUAUAUAUUUAUCUAUAGUUCCAUUUAUUUGCUAGUGUCUUUAAUUAGUAAGAGAAAAUUUUGAAACACCUCCCACUAGAUCUACCAGCAUAUAUAAGCUCCUAAUUUCCUAAUUUAAAGCUUUUAAUAAAAUAUAUUUUAAGAAAAAUCAUUAAUAAGACAAUUUAAAUAAUAAUAUUUUAAAUAAUACUAAUAUGUCACAAUAAAAAUGCAUUUUGUUUUAUCAAAAAUGGAGAUGCUGGUACAGUGAUUCUCGUUUGCAAAUACUUAUUUUCGUUGUUUGAUGCAGUAUAAUUUCACCUUGGAUCAAAAUUCAAAAUUUUCAAAGCGACUCAGUUCUAUCCUAGGCUGAAGUCAAUUAUAAUAAAAAAAAUAAAAGUAAGAAAAAAAGUAAUUAUUAAUUCAUCUUCGGUACCUCGAGUUUUACGUCGAUCAUUUUUGGCUAAAUAAAUUACAAAAUUGAAAAAAUUUUAAUCCCACAGAUAUACAAAUGUUCUGAUUCUUUUUAAAGUUGAUGGUGCUUAUCCUUCUAUUGUAAACGCUAAAAUAUAUUAAGAAAAUGAAUAUAUUCGUGUGCAACCACGUAACAGCAUCUAAAAAUAGUGGCUUAAUUGGGGGAACCCCAAAUUUGACCAAAGCAAAAGUAAUAUUCUAAGUUCCAAUGAUUCGUAGGAACUAAUUCUUUUUUUAUUUGUGGAAACUUAGAAGAACUAAGUCGCGUCACGUCUCUGGCGCAACGAAAAAGUAAAGUUAUUUUCGAACAUAAAUACUCACAUUAUAAAUUAAAUUAUCUAUUUCAUAUUUUUUAAUUAUUAUUACUGACUUUGUCGUGUAUAGUAACUGUAUUAAUUACAAUAAAUUAAAAUUUGUGGGCUACAAUAUAUCCCCAGCCUCAUAUAUAGUUUAAUUAUCAAACACGCAAUUUAUCCUAAAAAUUACUUUGGAAUUAUAGUUAAUGUUUGCGUAUAGAAUUAUGUCACGUCUCUGUGACAACGAAAGUAAUUGUCACAGUAACUUUUAAUAAUUUGGAUGUACUUUAUCUAGUUUUGUGGCGCAAAUUGUGAUAGGCAUUAGGAUAAUGCUAAAGAUAAGGAUGAUGUAUGCAUCAGAGAGGGAAUUUAUGUUUACGAUAUUUAAAAUUUGAGGUACCUAAAUUUACUUUUUAUUUUGUUUAAUUACAUCAACUAUUUUUCUCAUUAAUUGAUCUCAAAAUGAAAGGAUUUUCAACAUAAACAAUUUAAAAAAAAUAAAUAAUACAAUUUCUUAGUUUAAAAAAAAUGUCACAAGUUGAUAAGGUCUCAAUUUUUUUUAAAAAAAAUUGUCAAGUUAUAUUUCUAGUCGAUCUCUAUGCAGUUUUAUUUUACCUUAUUUUAAUUUUUUGAGUGCCCAGCUAAUAAUGUGUUGGUCCCAAACUUUUUAUUAUUCAUAUAUAUUUAUGGGACAAAAGGCGCUAAUAAAUGCUGCGGUUCUUUGGUGCCCAUAAAGAAUUGAUUGUAUAAGGAGCUUAAUGGCGAAAUAACAAUAAUAAUAAAAAAAAUUAUUGUGGUUUGCACUCUAUAAGCUUCGCGAGUGGUCCGUGCUAUAUAUGUAGAAUUUACCUUGUCAAAAUCUAGACCAAAUAAACCCUUCUACUAAGAGCAGUGUUAUUCUCAUCGAAUCGACGCGCUCCGGCGAUAGGGGGGCUCACAGUUUACAGUGUGGGUCCGAACCCCCUGAUCAAUGGUUCUCGUCGAUUCGAAUAGAAUUUAUCUUAUUCUGAACCAAAUACGUAGGGGGCAGUUUAAAUUUGACAUGCAGGUUCAGUUAUAGUUUUCGUAGCUGUCUAAUUUAAAUUUGAAUUUGAAAUCAAAUCUACAAAACUUGAAUUUCGAUUCGAGCUGUACUAAUAAGAGAAACUAAAAGCCCGGGUCGGGCUCAGAUUUUCUGAGCCUCUUAUAUUCGGAACUGGAAGAAGGCUUCUAGUUUCGAAAAUACCUAACAUAUAUUUCAAUUUUUCGAUUCUAAGCAACUGAGCUAUUUUGCCGAGCUCUCUUAAGCUGAGAGAAGUAACAUGCAGGUGACAUUCCUAAAAUGCGGCGGGGUGGCCUUUGGAACUGCGAUGCACCACUUCGCCACCGACGGGCCCAGCGCUUUCCACUUCAUCCAAACAUGGGCCAGCCUCGCCCGUGGGGAGGCCGCCGACGCCCUCCCCCCGCCCUUCCUCGACCGCACCCUCCUCCGCCCCCGCUCCCCUCCCUCCGUCGUCUUCCACCACCCCGAAUACUCCCCCGACACAUUCUCCGCCCGCUCGACCGCGCCUUACGUCGCCGCAAUCCUCAAGCUCUCCAAAGGCCAGAUCGCGCUCCUCAAGAGCCGCGCCAGCGGCGGUGGUAGCGGCUACGCCGUGUCGACGUUCCGCGCGGUCACCGCCCACGUGUGGCGGUGCUUGUGCGUCACCCGGAAGCUCGCCCCGGACGCGCAGACGCGACUCUACCUGCCUGCUCAAAUUCGCAACCACGUAAAACCCCCACUCCCGCAGCACUACUUUGGCAACGCGUUGAUCCGCGUAUCGGCGGUCACGACGGUCACAGAACUUGUGAACGGCUCUCCGUCAUUCGCGGUCGAAAAGAUCAAGAGUGCCGUCGAUAAGGUAAACGAUGUUUACGUGAGGUCGGUCAUCGACUACUUGGAGCUGCAAGGCAAAAGAUGCAUGUCGGCGAGGAACGGAGUUAGGGAUACGGAUCUGUGGGCGAUCAGCUGGCUCGGGAUGCCGAUGUACGACGCCGACUUCGGGUGGGGGCUCCCGCAGUUCAUGGCGCGGGCGCAGCUCUACUCCAGCGGCUUCUUGUACGUGACGAGCAGCCCCGGGAAGGACGGCGGAGUGACGGCAGUGCUCGGAUUGGAGACCGAAAACAUGCACCGGUUCAAGGACUUGUUCUACGAGGAACUUUCAUGCUUGCAGUGUUAAAAAAAAAAAAAAAAAGAGAAAAAAAAAAAGGUUACAACAUUGCUGUGCUAGUUCCAAUUUGGGCUUGUUUCGAUGUCAGAACAAGUUAUUUAUCUGGUGAUAGCUUGUGUGUUACUUACGAGUUUAAUUUCGAGCUUACUAUGUAUCAAAAGUUUAAGAAUACUACAUUUUCAAUUGUUACUGAUUAAACCGAACCGAUCGAAAUGACAAUUUGGUUUAAACUGAAUAAUGCUCGUUGUUUCCUACGAUUGCGGGCUUAGGAAGGGUCCAAUCUCUACUUGCUUGGGCUCGAUUAAAUUACGCGUUGGGCCGAAUGAUGCUCCGCAAAAUAAUGCAGCCCAUUUUAGUUGGAACAAGUAUUAUUAGAUUUUACGCGCAAAUAUAAAAAAGAGUAAUACUAUUUGUACACUUACUAGUGCGGUACGAAUUUUGUACUCUACUUAUCCAAAUGCUAGUUGUACACCUACUAAUAUACUUGUUGUACAUCCCAUACAAGAGAGUACAGAUUACACGUACCCUUGAGUCCAAAGAAAAAAAUCCAAAUUAAUUUUAGUAAAUAAUAAUAAUAAUACUAAGACUAGUUAGUAGAUUUUAAUCAUAUGAAUACUAGGUUGUACAUCUUACACUACCAUAGAUGUACAGGUAACAUUGCUCAGAUUUAAAAACUUUUUUUGAAUUAGUAGUAUAAAAAAAAAUUGAUCAUAAGAUUAAGGAGUAAAUAUAAGUCUUUUGAUAGCUAAAAUAUGAGAUUUAUAAUCAUAUAGCUAUAUAUACACCUAGUACAUAGGUGUAAAUCUUACGCCGCUUUUCCUCAGAAGGUUAGGAUAUUGCGACUUGUCAUAUCAAAUUUUUGAAAAAAUACUAAAAAAUCUUAAUAACUUUUGUAAACAUUUCGAUCUAAAAGUGUGAGACAUAUGCCAGGUGUUCUAUGUCACACUCGCACCACAUCACCUAUGUCCUAAAUUAAUCAAAUCUAUCCUUUUCAGAUAAAAGUAUAAAUUUUUAAAAAACAUAAAUUAUAUGGUAUCGAUGAACGCCAAGGACACGAAAAAGUCUAAAAUGUCGCAGUUACACAUAUAACCAUUCAAUCAAAUUCAACAAACCUUUAAAAUUUAUCCACCCUAUCAUGAUUUUUAAAAUAUUUUUUAUCUAUUCUUACCUCUAAAGAAAAAAUAUGAUUGGUUUGGGAUAUAGAUGGCGUGAUAUAAACGUGACAUUGUAAAUCACCUCUUGAGGCUGUGUUUGGAUCGGGAACAAGGACGAGAAUAAGCCCUUGUUUCCCACCUUUGUUCCCAAAUAUAAAUUUUCGUACUUAAGAACAUUAAUUCUCUGGUUCCUGCAAUAAGCUGGUAUAACUCAGUACAAAUUUGAAACUAUUGUUCCAUCAUUUUUUCUGGAACAAGAUUGCUCCCAAGUGGGAAAAAGGUUAUUUAAAGUCUAAAUUUAAUUUUAAUUAUGAUAUUAAAUUAUUAAUUAAUCUAAUUAUUAUAUUUAAAUCAUUAUCAAUUACUUAAAUAAUAAAGUAAUUAAUUAAAUUAUUACUUAUAAUUAAUUACAUAAUUAAUUAUUAAUAAUUUAAUGUGAUUAUUCAUAAACUAAUAUUUAUAUUGAUCAAUCAUUAAUAUUUUUAUUAAUAUAAUUAAUUUUUUUUACUAGUUAUCAACUAAAAUAAUUUACUAACCAAUUAAAAAGUUAAAUUAUUUUUUAUAAUUAAUUAAUUAAUUAACAUAUUUUUAUUUUCUUAUAUAAUAUUCAUAACUAAUAAAAUUAUUAAUUUAGUAAAUUAUUUUUAAUUAACAUUUUAAUAUAAAUUCAUUAGAUAAAAUAUUUUAAAUUUAAAAUUAUAAUUCUUAUUUCUCUCGUUCCAAUCUACCUAUUCAAAUAUUAUUUAUCUUAUUCUCAGGAACAAUUUAAUUUUCUUUCAAAUACAAAAUUUGUCUAGUUUCUAUUUAUAUCUGAACUUAUAUCUAUUUCUAAAAUUAACAGUCUUAUUUAUAUCCGAACAAAACGCAGUCUUAAUAAGAAUAUAUAAUUUGAUUGGCUUGGGACAUGGGUAAUAUGAUGCGACAGUAGUAUUUUUGGCUGUUUCCUACGAUGCAUAAACAAAUAGUACAUUUCUUGAAAUUCGGUCACUAUACUAUCGAUAGUACAAGCAUAGUUUAUCUGGUCAGUAUCGAUUUUUUGUACUUGUUUUAAUGCGAAAGGUUACAGUGAUUGGUGGGAGUUGCGGUUGUGACGUUUCCACGUGUCCAAUAAUGUACAUGUUUGGUCACAUUCAAAUUAAAGUUUGUGAGGGACCUCUCAUUGGACCUUGUGAUGCAAUCAUUUGAAAAAAAAAGAACAAAUUAUUUUUCUUAGUAUUAGUAUAUUUGGAAAGGGCUGGGGAGUUUAAGGGGUAUUUCGCCAAGCCUUUAAAAAACGUUUUUGGGUUGAAAAAUAAUUUUCUGCUCAACAGAGCGUUUGACAACUCCACUUUUAAAACCUGAUUCUGCUUUUUAAAAUUAGAAAACUGAUUUUGAAAACACCAGAAUCAGAAGCUGAAAAAAACUGCUUCUUAAAAUCUGAUUCUGAUUUUAGACUCAAACUUCAAAAUUUUAUUUUAAUUUUAAAUUCAAUAUUUAAGUUUAAAUUNCCCACACAAUCUUAAAUUCGUAACCGAAAUACGAGAGAACAAAAACUUAGCGUCUUAAGAUCCAUCACCAAACACAUAUUGCGAUCAAAAAUAGAGAACACAUGCGAGAACACAAACUGCUUAAAUACUAAUACCCGAGUAAAGAGGAGAGAUGAGCGAUCCUACCACCUGUCCCCCUCGGAGGCCCCGACGCUCCUCCCGUAGCGGUUCCCCCCCUCGUAGCCGCCUCCGUAGCCACCGCGGGACUGGGCCUCGUUCACGGUGAUGCUCCUCCCGUCGAGGCUCUUCCCAUUCAUCCCCUCGAUCGCGUCCCGCAUCGACUGCUCGUUGGCGAAGGUGACGAACCCGAACCCCCUCGACCUCCCCGUCUCCCGAUCGUUGAUGAUCUGCACCCCCGAUUAGCAAAUCUCAACGAUCCGAUCCGCGAUCAACAAGCUCAGAUCCAGAUCUCGUAGUCUCAGAUCUCAGAUCUCAGAUCCACGAGAUCUGGAUCUCAAAUCCACACCAAAAUCAAAUCGAAACAGGGAAAAGGGAUUAGGGAUCAGGGAUCGAACCUUAGACUCCAGGAUCUCACCAAAGGGUCGGAACGCCUCCUCGAGGGUGUGGCUAUCGGUGGCCCACGCGAGGCCGCCGACGAAGCAGCGGAACUCCACCUCGGUCGUCGCCAUAGAAACCCUAGAUCGGACGUACGACAGAGAAGGGAGAAUCGGGGAGAGGGGGAGGAGAUCCAACCCACCUCUAUCAGAGCACGAGAGGAAAGAAGAAACCCAAACCCUAGAUUUAUAGAUCAGAGGCCCGCGGUAAAGUUACCCCACUCCGCAUACGAUCACCGCCGUUCCUUAUCGUCAACACAGCGUCGCGUGCGGAUCGUGCGGUGGAGAGUGGGGGAGUAGAGGACUAUUAACUUGCGCCGCGGAGUACGGGACCCACUCCCGUGGAAUAUACGAGAAUAACUAUCUCUAGUAACGUCUACGGAAACAUCCCAAGAACAAGUCGAAGAACCGUUUCUAUUGGACCAACGUGGCAACACGCGAUAUUUGGACCAAUGGAAAGUGAGUUAUUUAAAACAAUCUUCGCAUUUUGCGUCGGCGUGUUAAGCGAAUAUCGGAUGGUUUACUUUUCUUUAAAAAGUGAGCUGUACACUAGCGCGCGCGUGAUACAAGGACAGUUUCUAUGCGGAACUCCGUAUAGUGCAACUUUUAGGAAGCGGGCGUGGCCGUUGAAUUGUGCUUCGUGGGUGUAUAUGGAGGGCAUCUAAGCGAAAGGCAUAGACUCUCUAUGCGGACCUGCGCAUAGAAGUAUUUGGUCGUUAGAUACAUUGUUCGGGGUUGGGGUGAGGCAAAAAUAUCUAACGAGUGGAAUUACUGUCUUAGCCCUGGAAUAAAUGUUUCAUCGUUAUCCUUCACCCGUAGACCGACAUAAUGGCGGACACGCGGCAGGCGUUGACAGGUUGAAGAGAAUGCGGACUUGGUUCACCACGUCAUCUUGAGAUGUCCCGGAAUCCGAAUCCGAUUAACGGUGUGUUCUGUCUAAUUUUUAAAAAAUAAUUUUGGAUUAAAAAAUAAUUUUCCAUUCAAUAGAGAUUUGUCAAUCUUAUUUCUAAAAUAUGAUUUCGAAGAAAAUAUGAUUUCGAAGGUUCCUGAGAAGCAAAAAUAAAUUGCUUCUUAAAAUCUGAUUCUGAUUUUGAACUCAAACUUUAAAUUUUUAUUUUAAUUUUAAAUUCAAUAUUUAAAUUUAAAUUUAAUUUUAAAUUUUAAUUUUCAUAUUUAUUUUUAAAUUUUUAAUUUUCAUAUUCAUUUUUAAAUUUUUAAUUUUUAAUUUAUAAAUUUUAAAUUUUGAAAAAUAGAUUGCAAACUUUAAAUUUUAAAUUUUAAUUUUUAAAUUUUAAAUCUCAAAUUUUAGAUUUUAAAAUUUUAAAUUUUAAGUUUUAGAUUUCAAAUUUACGAUAAAUUUUAAAAUUUGAUAUUUUAGAUUUUAAAUUUUAAAUUUAAACAUUUAAAAGUUUUAAAUUUUAAAUUAUAAAAUUUAAUCUUCAAUUUAAAAAUUUCAAAAUUUUAAAAUUUAAAUUUUAAAUUUUUAAAUUUUGAAUAUUCCAAUUUUAAAUUUUAAAUUUCAAAUUUCAUACUUAUUUUAAAUUUUAAAUUUCAUAAUUAUUUUAAAAUUUAAAUUUUAAAUUCUAAAUUUAAUUAUUUUUAAAUAUUAAUGUUUUAUAUUUUAAAUUUCGUAAUUAUUUAUAUUUUUAAAUUUAAAUUUAAACUUUUAAAUUUCAAAUUUACUUUUAAAUUUUAAUUUUUAAAUUUCAUUAUUAUUUAUAUUUUUAAAUUUAUAUUUAUGUUUUUAAAUUUUAAAUUUUUAAAAUUUUAAAUUAUUUUUAAAUUAAAAUAUCAAAUUUUAAAUUUUGUACAAUUUUGAAAAUUAAAAAUUUUAAUUUUAAUUCAAGUUUAAAUUUAGUUUUUAAAUUAUUUUAAAAUAAAAUUUAAUAAAAAUAUUAAUUUAUGCAAAUAUCAAAAAAAAUUCGCCAAACUGUUUUUCAAAAUCGCUUUAGAAAAAUCGUUUUUAUCUAAACUCAGCCAAAUGCUCUACACCUUUUAACCAAAAUCAUUUCUGCAAACUAAAAUUACUUUUUCAGAAGCUAGGCCAAACGGGCCCUAUCUGCACCAUUAAUAGAUUAUUAUGUGCACAAUUUAAUUAAUUAAUUUUGUCACAUAGUUGGGAACACGCACUUUUUUAUGCAACAUAUUUUUUUUGGGUACUGAUAUUUUCAAAAAAUUCUAUACUCGCAUAUAAGAGAUGCUAUUAUUUAUAUAUAAAUUAACUAUGAAAAUAGGAUUUUCUUUUUUAAAUUAUAUUAAUUUAUUGACGCAUGCAUACCCAUAAAUUAAAAAUACUCCUAAUUAGAAAAGAGCUAAUGAAUUAACAAUUCGAAAAUUAUUGGUAAACAAACUAGUUUGUUAAAUUUACUAGUUUUUUAUGAUAUAAAUUUGAUCAAAUUUGUUAAAUAAAAAUUAGAUUCUAAAAAAUUUUGUAAUCAAACUUUUUUAAGAAAAAAAGGGCAAUUGUUCUUUUUAAUAUGAAUCGUGAUCGUGGUUGGUGGGAGUUGCGGCUGUGAUGAGUUACACGUGUGAAAAAAUGUUUGGUAAAAUACAAAUUAAAUUUAGGCCGUUGAUCAUAGCCUCUCAAAGGUGGAUAACCUCAUUUAAAAAAUAAUAAUAAAUAAAAAUUUGUACAUUUGAACUCAAUUUUUUUUUAUUCUGAUACCAUAUUAAAAAAUAUGAAACAACUAAUCAUUAAUCUUCAAUAGCUUAAGCUGUCAACAAAUUGUAUUUUGACGCCAUAUUAAAGAAUAUGAAGUAGCUGCAAUUUCCAAUAGUUUAAGCUGUGAACGAAUGUUAUUAUUUUUUUUUUUGAGAGAGAGAUAGGUAGUACGCUACUCGCUUCGUUUAUUUCAUUUAGAAAUAAACUUAGUUAGAAAUGUGAAUCAACUAGGAUUCGAAUUUGGGUCUCGGAUACCAACCACCAAAUCCUUUGCCACUAACUCUAUAGACGGUCGGUAACGAACGUUAUUUUUACUGCAAGGAGCAUUGAGGAACUCGAAAUAAGAAUCUCCUGUUCUAAUGCCAAUAUUAAAGAAUAUGAAACAAUCAUUAAUCUCCAAUAGCUUAAGUUGCCAGCGAAUGAUACUUUAAUACCAUAUUAAAGAAUGUAAAAAAAGUUGUUAAUCUCCAAUAGCUUAAGCUGGUGGCGAACGGUAUUUUUAAUGCAAGGAGCACUGCAGAACUCAUAUUCACGACUUCCUACGUACCCUAAUAACAUAUUAAAGAAUGUGAAACGAUUGUUAAUCUUUAAUAGCUUGAGCCGUCAGCGAAUUGAAUUUUGCUAUCUAUUCGUUCAUUUUCGGUAGCUUAAAUUGCCAACGAACAAUAUUUUUAAUGCAAGAAUUAUUGCGGGAUUCAAACUCAUGACAUACUAUUCUGAUACUAUAUUAAAAAAAUAUAUAAAAUAACCGUUGAUCUUCAAUAGCUUAAGCAGCGAGCGAAACAAAGAUGCAAAGAGCAUAUUGCAAACAAAGUAAAAUAAAAAUUUUCCAUUAUUGUACAUGAACAUAAAUUUCCAUGGCCUAGCAUUUUUGAAAAUUAAAAAUAUACAAACAUGAAUUCAUGUGUUUAUGUGACGCCCCAACUUCCCAGGGGGUCACACAUCCUAGGACUACUCCUGUCCCAGCACGCUUAACUCUCUUAACCUCUUGGGCCUUGCCACCACUCAACAUGCUUAAGCUGGGUUAAGAGUUUAGCCCUAUUAUAUCUCAUAUAUAGGACUACCCGGGGUCUCACAAUCUCCCCCCCUUUACGCCCUGACGUCCUCGUCAGGCUCAAACUCACAAGUACCAGGCGAUGUGAGACUUGUCUCGCUAGCCCGUCAUCCAGACCCUGGCUCAGCCGAGACUCAUCUCACACUUCCGGCUGGUAAUUGGCUCUGAUACCAUCUGUGAUGCCCCAACUUUCCAGGAGGUCACCCAUCCUAGGACUACUCCCGUCCCAGCACGCUUAACUUUCUUAACCUCUUGGGUCUUGCCACCAUCCAAAAUGCCUAAGCCGGGUUAAGAGUUUAGCUCUAUUAUAUUUCAUAUAUAGGACUACCCGGGGUCUCAUAGUUUAUUUAGUCAAUUUCUAGUGGAAAAUGUUAACUAAUUAGUACUACCCACGUAACAUGCAUGUGUUCUAUAAAUAAACUAAUGAAAAGUUAGUGGAUUUGCCUCCUCAACGUGUCAUAAACUUAUAAUAAACUCCUCCUCAAAGGACACAAAAAUUGAAAUAAAAGAUUAUAAAAUAGAGUAAAAUAUUUGCAAUAAUUUUAUUUAUGUAUUUUUCCUUCAAGUUGUCAUUUGUCGUCUUAUUAGUUGGACAUUAAUGAGAUGCAAUUAAAAUGGGCCCAUUUUGCCCUUAAAAUAAUGGCAAAUAAAAGAGCACCACUAAAUUGUGAAAUGUGAACAUGCAUGCGAAACAUUAUUAAGAUUAAUUCUAUAGAAUCAUCUAAAUUUUUUUGGCUUAUUUGCGCAUAUACAGCUGUUAAAACUUUAAAAAUUUUAUGUUUCUCACCCAAAUUUUUAACUUUGUAUAUUUUUCAAUUGACCAUCUAAAUUUUUAUUUUACUAAUUUAAAGUUCUCUUAAAAAAAAAUGAACGUUAUACGCCAAUAAUAUUGGAGGAUCUUGUUGACGUUGAAAUUUAUUCUUUCAAUAAAAAAAAAGUAAUAUUUUACUAUUAAUUACUAAAAGUAAAUGUUAAUAAUUAUAUUUAGGUGAAAGCUUUAAAAUUUAGGUAGCUGUAUGUAAAUGGGCGAAAAAUCGGUGUUUCUGGCGCAUUUAAAUUUUUGUUAACCUCUUGCGUGACGCCCUACAUUUCAAGAGAUCAUACAUUCUAGGACUAUUUAGGAUCUUACAUUCUUCCCUCUCUUUAAGCCUUGACGUUUUCGUCAGGCUCAGAAUCACAAAUAUCAAGCGAUAUGAGACUUAUCUCGCUAAUCUUAACCGACCUUGUGAGGGAGCCGCGCUAGCUCUACUCACAGCAGUUAUCAGCAUGAGAGUUUCGCUCUACACACGCUGUAUAAUCUGACUAAGUUGAGGCUCAUCUCACGUUUUCAGCUGAUAAUUGGCUCUGAUACCAAUAGCUAGCGACACCCUACUUUUCAGAAGUCACUCAUUCUAGAACUAUCUGAGGUCUCACAUUUUGAUUCUCUAAAACGCUACUCUUAGGACGAAUUGACCUGCAUACUAUCAAAAAUUUUAAUUAGUUUGUGAAUACAACGUUAAAUAUAAAAUAAAACCACUUUCGUUGGUUUAAAUUUUUAAAGAUAAUUAAUUGUUUGAUAUGAUAUUAGAACAAUUAUUAUCAGAUCCGCAAAUUAAUUUCAGUUCCACGUUCCACAAAUAUAAAAAACAAAAAUAAAAUGCUAAUAAUAAUAAAAAAAGAAUAUAUCGUGUGAGCGUGACAAUGACUACGACGAUUUAAUUAUUAAAUUAUUGUGUAUAUCGCAUGUACGUAGUUAACUAUGUGACAAAAAUUAAUCAUACACCAAUUAAAAAUUGUGGCAUAUGACAAAAUCACACAUAAAUUAAAGUGUAGGCACGGUCACAUUUUUGUAUUUUAGGUAUAUAUGUAAAUUGAUAAACAAUUUAACAUAUCAUCCAUCUCGUGAUUGUGAAUCAUAGGAGUACUAAUAUAUUUUUUUUUGCUACACUUUUUUUUUUCGAAUAAACUAAAAUAAAAAUUUUAGACUAUAUAUAUAUAUAUAUAUAUAUAUAUAUAUAUAUAUAUACAAAAUAUUUUUGGUUUAGCAUUUUUGAAAAUAAAUAAAUAAAUGCAUGCGUUCAUGCGUUUAUUUUAUUCAAUUUAUAGUGGUGAAUAAAUAAGAGUUUUUAUAAAUUAAUGAAAAGUUAGUGAAUUUUCCUCCUCGGACGUGUCAUGAUAAACUCCUCAAAACACUCAAAAUGGAAAUGAGAAAUUAUAAAUAGAAUAAUUAUAUUGUCCAUAGUUUUUAUUUAUUUAUUUAUUUAUUUUUCUUUCAAGUUGUUACUUGUCUCAUUGUGACAUAUAUUCAUUUAUUAAUUAGAAAUUAAUGCGAUCCAACUUGGAUCGCAUUAAUGGUGAAGGAUUUUUACAUAUUGGAAAAAAAGAAAAAAAAAAGAAAAAAAAAAGAAAAGAAAAAGAGCACCACUAUGUUGUGGUUCUACAGUGGAACAAUGGAAAACAUAAAUUAAGAUAUAUUUUUGUUCACUUUAAUUCUACAAAAUAUUUCUUAUUAUUUACAAGACAAAUUUCUCAAUUAAUAACUUUAUUUGAGAAAGACUUAUUUAAUUAGUUGCUAAAGUUAAAAAAAAAUUAAGAUGACGGUUAAUAAAAAUGUGCUAAAAAUAUAUAAAAAAAAUAUUAUCUCAAUUAUUGCCUAUUUGGAUUUAGCUAUCUAAUUUUUAAAAUUUUUAAUUUAACUACCAGACUUUUUAAUUUAUUUGAUUUAAUAAAUUUGUGACUUUUUAACUUCAAGACUUGGAUACAAUGUUUAUCUUUACAAAUUUAAUUAGUAUAUUUUAUAUAAUUUAUUUAAUUAUAAAUUUAUUAAAAUAAAUAAUUAUUUUAAAUUUUAUAUUAGAAUAGCCAUCAAAUUUUUUAAAUCAACAAAUUGAAAGAUUAGAUACUGAAAUUAAAAUUUUAAAGAUUGGAUAAUCGAAUUAAAAUGGUCAAUAGUGUGGUUCAAAAAGCGCUAACCAGCUAUUCCAAAAGUACGCACCGAUAAGAAUGAGACAUUCAUCGCACUUAAGUACUCAGGCUUAAAUCUUAAGCUACCCCAAAAAGUACGUGCUGAUAAAAGGGCGCAUCCAUCGCAAGCUCAGCCUUUAAGCACUCAGGUAUAGUGCUCACGUGUUUCGACCUGACUCAAUCCAUCUCGUCGAUGAAUCGAUUAUUGGAUAUCUUACCAUUAGGUCUAAUUGUGAACUAUAUUUUUACUAAAGAUAUUGGGCUUAAUACAACUCAAUUUAUUAGCGCCCUAAAUUUAUUAUUAAGAAAUAAAAAAAUUAAAUAUAGUGCAUUCAACAAAUACUUUCUAAAAGUUUUAUAUAUUUUUACCUAAAACUGACAGAGUUCUAAUCUUAUAUAGGUAAAAAAAAAAAAAAAAAAGGCAUUAAAUGUGAAAGGGUCUUUGAUUUGUCCCAUCCUUGUAAAUGUCCAUAUCAAAUAUCAAAUAAUCAAAACAAUGGAUCCCACAAAAGUUGAAUUUUAAUCAAUUUAAGAUAACCAAUAAAUAGAUUAGCAACUGUAUAAGUUUAGAAGGCAAAAUUAUACUAAACUUAUUUGAAUUAUAGACUAUUUUGAAUCAACUAUUUAAUCUUUUAAAAUUUUAAUUUAUUAUGCAAUCUCUUAAUUUGUUUGAAUUUAGUCGGUCAGCAGCACUUUGACUUCAAAUUUGAAUGAAUCGUUUAUUUUUACAAAUUUAAUUAUAUACUGUAUAUAAUUAUGGUAAAUGUAAAUUCAAUAAAGUAAGAAUUAGCUUAAAUUUUAAAGUCAAAUUUUAAAGCAAUUAAGAAUUAGCUUAAAUUUAAUAAAUUAAAAGAUUGGAUAAUAAAAUCAAAUUUUUAAAAGACCACCAAAUCUGGUCGAUAGCAGUACUUUGAGACUUGCAUAUAUAAUUUUGUAAAAAGUUUGAAACAGAAAGAAAAUUAUUUUAUAUUCUAGUACAAAAAAUAAUAAUAAAAUUAGAUGGAUCAAUGUGGUUCUACGAUAAGUUCUGGUGCUUAAUUAUCAUAAAUAAAAGAGAAGAAACACCAUUUUUUGUUUGAAAUUUUGAAAAAUUAUGUGUAAACUAAGAAACCAAAACAGUAGUGUAAUUAAUAAGCUCUAGAGAGUUGCUUAUUAAAUUAUUUGAUAACUAUUCAAAGGUCUAAUUUUUCAAAAUUAAAAGUAUAAAAAUCUAGUUGCAAAAAUAUUAGAGGCCUUUCAUAAAUGUUAUUUUUACUGAAGUUCUGCACGUAAUUAUCAAAACUAAAAGGGAGUGUAUAUAUAUAUAUAUAUGGUCCGCUACUUACAUUAUGUAGUACGAUCACUCUCGGUACUCAUAAAGUUUGUUUCGAUAUAGAGCCUUCGCAAUCGAUGAUCGCACACCGUUAAACGUUAAUUUACAAUCAUGUAAGAACUUCUUAAAAUUCAAAUUUUAUACAUUUUUCGACAUCAUUUACCCUUAGCGGUCAAGAGGUCACAAAUUU